Molecule: ribosomal RNA, 992 nt
Filed under: Staphylococcus aureus
Lineage: Bacteria; Bacillati; Bacillota; Bacilli; Caryophanales; Staphylococcaceae
Description: partial 23S ribosomal RNA
Rfam family: Bacterial large subunit ribosomal RNA
Source: RNAcentral
AGAUUAAGUUAUUAAGGGCGCACGGUGGAUGCCUUGGCACUAGAAGCCGAUGAAGGACGUUACUAACGACGAUAUGCUUUGGGGAGCUGUAAGUAAGCUUUGAUCCAGAGAUUUCCGAAUGGGGAAACCCAGCAUGAGUUAUGUCAUGUUAUCGAUAUGUGAAUACAUAGCAUAUCAGAAGGCACACCCGGAGAACUGAAACAUCUUAGUACCCGGAGGAAGAGAAAGAAAAUUCGAUUCCCUUAGUAGCGGCGAGCGAAACGGGAAGAGCCCAAACCAACAAGCUUGCUUGUUGGGGUUGUAGGACACUCUAUACGGAGUUACAAAGGACGACAUUAGACGAAUCAUCUGGAAAGAUGAAUCAAAGAAGGUAAUAAUCCUGUAGUCGAAAAUGUUGUCUCUCUUGAGUGGAUCCUGAGUACGACGGAGCACGUGAAAUUCCGUCGGAAUCUGGGAGGACCAUCUCCUAAGGCUAAAUACUCUCUAGUGACCGAUAGUGAACCAGUACCGUGAGGGAAAGGUGAAAAGCACCCCGGAAGGGGAGUGAAAUAGAACCUGAAACCGUGUGCUUACAAGUAGUCAGAGCCCGUUAAUGGGUGAUGGCGUGCCUUUUGUAGAAUGAACCGGCGAGUUACGAUUUGAUGCAAGGUUAAGCAGUAAAUGUGGAGCCGUAGCGAAAGCGAGUCUGAAUAGGGCGUUUAGUAUUUGGUCGUAGACCCGAAACCAGGUGAUCUACCCUUGGUCAGGUUGAAGUUCAGGUAACACUGAAUGGAGGACCGAACCGACUUACGUUGAAAAGUGAGCGGAUGAACUGAGGGUAGCGGAGAAAUUCCAAUCGAACCUGGAGAUAGCUGGUUCUCUCCGAAAUAGCUUUAGGGCUAGCCUCAAGUGAUGAUUAUUGGAGGUAGAGCACUGUUUGGACGAGGGGCCCCUCUCGGGUUACCGAAUUCAGACAAACUCCGAAUGCCAAUUAAUUUAACUUGGGAGUCAGA